Coffea arabica (coffee) is the source of this 908-nucleotide non-coding RNA. Lineage: Eukaryota; Viridiplantae; Streptophyta; Magnoliopsida; Gentianales; Rubiaceae. The record is from RefSeq and is a predicted model, not a curated record.
UGGCAGCAAUUUUGGCGGUCAACAAUUUCGGCUUUGUUUCCUCUCAUUCUUUUCUUGUCUUUCUUUACCAGGUGUCCAGGCAAUUUAGGCGGCGAGUUCAUUCUUUUCUUGGCUUUCUUUACUGGGCGUUCAAGCAAUUUUGGCGGUGAGUUGAGCUGAAUCCAGAGCGCACUGCUUCAGAGUUUUGCGCGCUGCUACUUUUCCUUAUUGUUUUCUCGGUCUUGUUUCCUCUGUUUCUUUUCUUGGCCUUCUUUACCAGGAAUAUAUUUUAUACUAAAGGCAAAACGAAGGGCUCUAGGAAAUGUCUGGUGUUUUGGCUCAGUAUCAUCCGGCGGUAGCUAAUGCCCUGAUCGUAUGAUUGUUGGGUAACGUGUUCGAUGGUGUGAGUGCAGCAGCAAAGGGUGUAUGUUCCAGGAAGGGAAAAGGAGAAGCAAACUGUUGAGCUGGAGGUCUGCAAUCAGGGAAUGUUCAAAACCGAGUUGCGUAACAAAUGGCAAGAGACCGGGGAAUGUCCCUAUGGAGAGAACUGCCAAUUUGCUCAUGGAAUUAAGGAGCUGCGCCCUGUACUUCGCCACCCGCAUGGAGUUGAACGGUGGACACCGAUGAUGAGGAGAAGCUUAUCAAGUCCACGAACAUCAGGCCCCUAAAGCUACUCAAUCGUUAGGUCCAUGAUUAUAACUCCCCUAAAUGACGUUAGACAACUGCAAAAGUCUUGGCUGGUAUGCAACGGUGUUUUUGUUCUUCAAAGUAAGCAAUUGAUUAAUAGGCAAUAAGGCUAAGGUCUACUGAUGUGAUAAUACUAACUGCUUGAUUAAAAAAAAAACUGUAUGAUCCGUGGUCAAGGAGAUUAAAAGUAACAUUUCUCGGCAGUGCACCUUUGAUGAGUUACUGUGCAUUGUUUGCAAACA